CCGUGAGGGAAAGGUGAAAAGCACCCCGGAAGGGGAGUGAAAUAGAACCUGAAACCGUGUGCUUACAAGUAGUCAGAGCCCGUUAAUGGGGGAUGGCGUGCCUUUUGUAGAAUGAACCGGCGAGUUACGAUUUGAUGCAAGGUUAAGCAGUAAAUGUGGAGCCGUAGCGAAAGCGAGUCUGAAUAGGGCGUUUAGUAUUUGGUCGUAGACCCGAAACCAGGUGAUCUACCCUUGGUCAGGUUGAAGUUCAGGUAACACUGAAUGGAGGACCGAACCGACUUACGUUGAAAAGUGAGC
RNAcentral lists this ribosomal RNA (297 nucleotides) under Staphylococcus aureus. RNAcentral's name for it is "partial 23S ribosomal RNA". It matches the Rfam family "Bacterial large subunit ribosomal RNA", at positions 501 to 801 of the family's 2925-position model. The record is from RNAcentral. Lineage: Bacteria; Bacillati; Bacillota; Bacilli; Caryophanales; Staphylococcaceae.